AUCAUUUAGGGAAAAUGCGCCGCAGCAAACAUGGAAUAAUCGACGAUAUAAAAGGCGUCGAUUAUUUUUUUUU
This 73-nucleotide small RNA is filed under the name Leclercia adecarboxylata. RNAcentral describes it as "Enterobacterial sRNA STnc240". It matches the Rfam family "Enterobacterial sRNA STnc240". The record is from RNAcentral. Lineage: Bacteria; Pseudomonadati; Pseudomonadota; Gammaproteobacteria; Enterobacterales; Enterobacteriaceae.